GUGAAGAACGUAGCGAACUGCGAUAAGUAAUGUGAAUUGCAGAAUUCAGUGAAUCAUCGAGUCUUUGAACGCACAUUGCGCCCCCUGGCAUUCCGGGGGGCAUGCCUGUCCGAGCGUCAUUGCUGCCCUUCAAGCCCGGCUUGUGUGUUGGGUCGUCGUCCCCCCCGGGGGACGGGCCCGAAAGGCAGCGGCGGCACCGCGUCCGGUCCUCGAGCGUAUGGGGCUUUGUCACCCGCUCGAUUAGGGCCGGCCGGGCGCCAGCCGGCGUCUCCAACCUUCUAUUUUACCAGGUUGACCUCGGAUCAGGUAGGGAUACCCGCUGAACUUAAGCAUAUCAAUAAGCGGAGGA
This 349-nucleotide unclassified non-coding RNA is filed under the name soil metagenome. RNAcentral describes it as "partial contains 5.8S ribosomal RNA, internal transcribed spacer 2, and large subunit ribosomal RNA". The stretch from base 2 to 119 matches the Rfam family "5.8S ribosomal RNA", at positions 37 to 154 of the family's 154-position model. The record is from RNAcentral.